UUUAUUGGAGAGUUUGAUCCUGGCUCAGGAUGAACGCUGGCGGCGUGCCUAAUACAUGCAAGUCGAGCGAAUGGAUUAAGAGCUUGCUCUUAUGAAGUUAGCGGCGGACGGGUGAGUAACACGUGGGUAACCUGCCCAUAAGACUGGGAUAACUCCGGGAAACCUGGACUAA
Molecule: ribosomal RNA, 172 nt
Filed under: Bacillus cereus
Lineage: Bacteria; Bacillati; Bacillota; Bacilli; Caryophanales; Bacillaceae
Description: partial 16S ribosomal RNA
Rfam family: Bacterial small subunit ribosomal RNA
Source: RNAcentral